UUAAGCGACUAAGCGUACACGGUGGAUGCCUAGGCAGUCAGAGGCGAUGAAGGGCGUGCUAAUCUGCGAUAAGCGUCGGUAAGCUGAUAUGAAGCGUUACAACCGACGAUACCCGAAUGGGGAAACCCAGUGCAAUUCGUUGCACUAUUGCAUGGUGAAUACAUAGCCAUGCAAGGCGAACCGGGGGAACUGAAACAUCUAAGUACCCCGAGGAAAAGAAAUCAACCGAGAUUCCCCUAGUAGCGGCGAGCGAACGGGGAAGAGCCCAGAGUCUGAAUCAGUUUGUGUGUUAGUGGAAGCGUCUGGAAAGUCGCAGGGUACAGGGUGAUACUCCCGUACACAAAAACACACUUGCUGUGAACUCGAUGAGUAGGGCGGGACACGUGACAUCCUGUCUGAAUAUGGGGGGACCAUCCUCCAAGGCUAAAUACUCCUGACUGACCGAUAGUGAACCAGUACCGUGAGGGAAAGGCGAAAAGAACCCCGGCGAGGGGAGUGAAAUAGAACCUGAAACCGUGUACGUACAAGCAGUGGGAGCCUUGAUUUAUCAGGGUGACUGCGUACCUUUUGUAUAAUGGGUCAGCGACUUAUAUUUUGUAGCAAGGUUAACCGAAUAGGGGAGCCGUAGGGAAACCGAGUCUUAACUGGGCGUCUAGUUGCAAGGUAUAGACCCGAAACCCGGUGAUCUAGCCAUGGGCAGGUUGAAGGUUGGGUAACACUAACUGGAGGACCGAACCGACUAAUGUUGAAAAAUUAGCGGAUGACUUGUGGCUGGGGGUGAAAGGCCAAUCAAACCGGGAGAUAGCUGGUUCUCCCCGAAAGCUAUUUAGGUAGCGCCUCGUGAACUCAUCUUCGGGGGUAGAGCACUGUUUCGGCUAGGGGGUCAUCCCGACUUACCAAACCGAUGCAAACUCCGAAUACCGAAGAAUGUUAUCACGGGAGACACACGGCGGGUGCUAACGUCCGUCGUGAAGAGGGAAACAACCCAGACCGCCAGCUAAGGUCCCAAAGUCAUGGUUAAGUGGGAAACGAUGUGGGAAGGCAUAGACAGCCAGGAUGUUGGCUUAGAAGCAGCCAUCAUUUAAAGAAAGCGUAAUAGCUCACUGGUCGAGUCGGCCUGCGCGGAAGAUGUAACGGGGCUAAACCAUGCACCGAAGCUGCGGCAGCGACGCUUAGGCGUUGUUGGGUAGGGGAGCGUUCUGUAAGCCGUUGAAGGUGACCUGUGAGGGUUGCUGGAGGUAUCAGAAGUGCGAAUGCUGACAUAAGUAACGAUAAUGCGGGUGAAAAACCCGCACGCCGGAAGACCAAGGGUUCCUGUCCAACGUUAAUCGGGGCAGGGUGAGUCGACCCCUAAGGCGAGGCUGAAAAGCGUAGUCGAUGGGAAACAGGUUAAUAUUCCUGUACUUGGUGUUACUGCGAAGGGGGGACGGAGAAGGCUAGGCUAGCCGGGCGACGGUUGUCCCGGUUUAAGCAUGUAGGCGGAGUGACUUGGUAAAUCCGGUUGCUUAUCAACGCUGAGGUGUGAUGACGAGCCACUACGGUGGUGAAGUAGUUGAUGCCAAGCUUCCAGGAAAAGCCUCUAAGCAUCAGGUAACAUUAAAUCGUACCCCAAACCGACACAGGUGGUCAGGUAGAGAAUACUCAGGCGCUUGAGAGAACUCGGGUGAAGGAACUAGGCAAAAUGGUGCCGUAACUUCGGGAGAAGGCACGCUGGCAUUAGGUAAAGGGACUUGCUCCCGGCGCCGAAGCCAGUCGCAGAUACCAGCUGGCUGCAACUGUUUAAUAAAAACACAGCACUGUGCAAACACGAAAGUGGACGUAUACGGUGUGACGCCUGCCCGGUGCUGGAAGGUUAAUUGAUGGGGUCAGCCGCAAGGCGAAGCUCUUGAUCGAAGCCCCAGUAAACGGCGGCCGUAACUAUAACGGUCCUAAGGUAGCGAAAUUCCUUGUCGGGUAAGUUCCGACCUGCACGAAUGGCGUAAUGAUGGCCAGGCUGUCUCCACCCGAGACUCAGUGAAAUUGAACUCGCUGUGAAGAUGCAGUGUACCCGCGGCAAGACGGAAAGACCCCGUGAACCUUUACUAUAGCUUGACACUGAACAUUGAGCCUUGAUGUGUAGGAUAGGUGGGAGGCAUCGAAGCGUGGACGCCAGUCUGCGUGGAGCCAACCUUGAAAUACCACCCUUUAAUGUUUGAUGUUCUAACUCGGCCCCAUAAUCUGGGGUGAGGACAGUGUCUGGUGGGUAGUUUGACUGGGGCGGUCUCCUCCCAAAGAGUAACGGAGGAGCACGAAGGUUAGCUAAUCACGGUCGGACAUCGUGAGGUUAGUGCAAAGGCAUAAGCUAGCUUGACUGCGAGAGUGACGGCUCGAGCAGGUACGAAAGUAGGUCUUAGUGAUCCGGUGGUUCUGAAUGGAAGGGCCAUCGCUCAACGGAUAAAAGGUACUCCGGGGAUAACAGGCUGAUACCGCCCAAGAGUUCAUAUCGACGGCGGUGUUUGGCACCUCGAUGUCGGCUCAUCACAUCCUGGGGCUGAAGUAGGUCCCAAGGGUAUGGCUGUUCGCCAUUUAAAGUGGUACGCGAGCUGGGUUUAGAACGUCGUGAGACAGUUCGGUCCCUAUCUGCCGUGGGCGUUGGAAGAUUGAGAGGGGCUGCUCCUAGUACGAGAGGACCGGAGUGGACGAAUCACUGGUGUUCGGGUUGUCAUGCCAAUGGCAUUGCCCGGUAGCUAAAUUCGGAAGAGAUAACCGCUGAAAGCAUCUAAGCGGGAAACUUGCCUCGAGAUGAGUCUUCCCUGGGGCUUUAAGCCCCCUGAAGGAACGUUAAAGACUAUGACGUUGAUAGGCUGGGUGUGUAAGUGCAGCGAUGCAUUGAGCUAACCAGUACUAAUGAUCCGUGAGGCUUAACCUU
RNAcentral lists this ribosomal RNA (2908 nucleotides) under Yersinia rohdei. Its description in RNAcentral is "bacterial LSU rRNA". It matches the Rfam family "Bacterial large subunit ribosomal RNA". Lineage: Bacteria; Pseudomonadati; Pseudomonadota; Gammaproteobacteria; Enterobacterales; Yersiniaceae. The record is from RNAcentral.